RNAcentral lists this ribosomal RNA (336 nucleotides) under uncultured bacterium. RNAcentral describes it as "bacterial SSU rRNA". It matches the Rfam family "Bacterial small subunit ribosomal RNA", at positions 28 to 357 of the family's 1533-position model. The record is from RNAcentral.
GACGAACGCUGGCGGCGCGCUUAACACAUGCAAGUCGAGCGAGAACCAGGGCUUCGGCUCUGGGGACAGCGGCGAACGGGUGAGUAACACGUGGGUAAUCCACCCUCGGCACCGGAAUAGCCCGGGGAAACCCGGAUUAAUGCCGGAUGGCCCGUCGACCCUUCGGGGCUGACGGAAAAGGUAGCUUCGGCCUCCGGCCGGGGACGAGCCCGCGACGGAUUAGCUUGUUGGUGGGGUAACGGCCUACCAAGGCUCCGAUCCGUAGCUGGUCUGAGAGGACGAUCAGCCACACUGGGACUGAGACACGGCCCAGACUCCUACGGGAGGCAGCAGUGG